This 543-nucleotide ribosomal RNA is filed under the name uncultured Staphylococcus sp. Its description in RNAcentral is "bacterial SSU rRNA". It matches the Rfam family "Bacterial small subunit ribosomal RNA", at positions 360 to 907 of the family's 1533-position model. Lineage: Bacteria; Bacillati; Bacillota; Bacilli; Caryophanales; Staphylococcaceae. The record is from RNAcentral.
AGUCUGGCGCAGCUGAUGCAGCAUGCCGCGUGAAUGAUGAAGGCCUUCGGGUCGUAAAGCUCUGUCAUUGGGGAGGAAGGAUGUGUAAGUAACUGUGCACAUCUUGACGGUACCUAAUCAAAAAGCCCCGGCUAACUCCGUGCCAGCAGCCGCGGUAAUACGGAGGGGGCAAGCGUUAUUCGGAAUUAUUGGGCGUAAAGCGCGCGCAGGCGGUUUGUUAAGUCUGAUGUGAAAUCCCCGGGCUCAACCGGGGAACUGCAUUGGAAACUGGGAAACUUGAGUCUCGAAGAGGAAAGUGGAAUUCCAUGUGUAGCGGUGAAAUGCGCAGAGAUCUGGAGGAACACCGGUGGCGAAGGCGACUUCCUGGACUGUAACUGACGCUCAUGUGCGAAAGCGUGGGGAUCAAACAGGAUUAGAUACCCUGGUAGUCCACGCCGUAAACGAUGACUGCUUGGAGGUUGGGGCCUUCCGCCCCGUAUUGCUGAGCUUAACCCAUUAAUCACCCCCCCGGGGAAGACCGACCCCAGGGUUAAACCUCAAUGA